AGAGUUUGAUCCUGGCUCAGGAUGAACGCUGGCGGCGUGCCUAAUACAUGCAAGUCGAGCGAACCACUUCGGUGGGAAGCGGCGAACGGGUGAGUAACACGUAGGUGAUCUGCCCAUCAGACGGGGACAACGAUUGGAAACGAUCGCUAAUACCGGAUAGGACGAAAGUUUAAAGAUGCUCCUGGCAUCACUGAUGGAUGAGCCUGCGGCGCAUUAGCUAGUUGGUGGGGUAAAGGCCUACCAAGGCGACGAUGCGUAGCCGACCUGAGAGGGUGAACGGCCACACUGGGGCUGAGACACGGCCCAGACUCCUACGGGAGGCAGCAGUAGGGAAUCUUCGGCAAUGGGCGAAAGCCUGACCGAGCAACGCCGCGUGAAUGAAGAAGGCCUUCGGGUUGUAAAAUUCUGUUAUAAGGGAAGAAAGGUGAUAGGAGGAAAUGACUAUCAAUUGACGGUACCUUAUGAGAAAGCCACGGCUAACUACGUG
RNAcentral lists this ribosomal RNA (487 nucleotides) under uncultured Turicibacter sp. Its description in RNAcentral is "bacterial SSU rRNA". It matches the Rfam family "Bacterial small subunit ribosomal RNA", at positions 8 to 507 of the family's 1533-position model. Lineage: Bacteria; Bacillati; Bacillota; Erysipelotrichia; Erysipelotrichales; Turicibacteraceae. The record is from RNAcentral.